Molecule: long non-coding RNA, 301 nt
Filed under: Manihot esculenta (cassava)
Lineage: Eukaryota; Viridiplantae; Streptophyta; Magnoliopsida; Malpighiales; Euphorbiaceae
Description: long non-coding RNA (MESC_LNC007104)
Source: RNAcentral
CAACCACAACCCUAUUCAUGCAUACUAUCCAUACAACUCCCAUAAAACCUUCAAAAAUCAGUAAAAGAGGUUCUGGAUCUUUACUUACCUCUUCCAAACAAGAGAUCAAGUGAUCCUAUCGUGGAGCUAUGGAGAAAUCUCCUCACAACUCUCCAAACUUCAAAACUUGGUUCUUUUGCUCAAAACUCUCAAAACCUUCAAAACCGUCAAAAACACAUGAAAACUCUUCAAGAUUUGAGCAAGAUCAUGAAAGUCAACUAGGGAGGGUGUUGGACUCACCUCUGGCUGAAAAUGGAAGCAA